UACGUAGGGUGCAAGCGUUGUCCGGAAUUAUUGGGCGUAAAGAGCUCGUAGGCGGUCUGUCGCGUCGGCUGUGAAAACUCGGGGCUCAACUCCGAGCUUGCAGUCGAUACGGGCAGGCUAGAGUUCGGCAGGGGAGACUGGAAUUCCUGGUGUAGCGGUGAAAUGCGCAGAUAUCAGGAGGAACACCGGUGGCGAAGGCGGGUCUCUGGACCGAUACUGACGCUGAGGAGCGAAAGCGUGGGGAGCGAACAGG
This 253-nucleotide ribosomal RNA is filed under the name uncultured bacterium. RNAcentral describes it as "partial 16S ribosomal RNA". It matches the Rfam family "Bacterial small subunit ribosomal RNA", at positions 524 to 776 of the family's 1533-position model. The record is from RNAcentral.